GACGAACGCUGGCGGCGUGCUUAACACAUGCAAGUCGAACGGAAAGGCCCUGCUUUUGUGGGGUGCUCGAGUGGCGAACGGGUGAGUAACACGUGAGUAACCUGCCCUUGACUUUGGGAUAACUUCAGGAAACUGGGGCUAAUACCGGAUAGGAGCUCAUGCUGCAUGGUGGGGGUUGGAAAGUUUCGGCGGUUGGGGAUGGACUCGCGGCUUAUCAGCUUGUUGGUGGGGUAGUGGCUUACCAAGGCUUUGACGGGUAGCCGGCCUGAGAGGGUGACCGGCCACAUUGGGACUGAGAUACGGCCCAGACUCCUACGGGAGGCAGCAGUGGGGAAUAUUGCACAAUGGGCGGAAGCCUGAUGCAGCAACGCCGCGUGCGGGAUGACGGCCUUCGGGUUGUAAACCGCUUUCGCCUGUGACGAAGCGUGAGUGAUGGUAAUGGGUAAAGAAGCACCGGCUAACUACGUG
Molecule: ribosomal RNA, 468 nt
Filed under: uncultured bacterium
Lineage: Bacteria
Description: partial 16S ribosomal RNA
Rfam family: Bacterial small subunit ribosomal RNA
Source: RNAcentral